CCCAAACCGAUGCGUUUCGGCGCAUCGGGGUUGUACGGCCCAUCAGAUGACAGUUACCAAGGCCUGAGCUAGUCGAACGCCACUGGAAAGGGCGGCCAGAGCAGGUGAUAGCCCUGUAGACGAAAGAGCAAGCCCUGUCGAUGGGUACGUGAGUACCACGGGACACGCUAAGCCUGUGGGAAGCAGGGGGGUCCACCCUCCAAGGCUAAAUACGUCUGGCGACCGAUAGUGCAGAGUACCGUGAGGGAAAGGUGAAAAGAACCUCGGUCAGAGGAGUGAAAUAGAACCUGAAACCGUGUGCCUACAUGCAGUCAGAGGCCUAGGUGGGCAACCACAGGCUAAUGGCGUGCCUUUUGGAGAAUGAGCCGACGAGUUACUCUGUGUGGCGAGGUUAAGGCAGAGACAGCCGCAGCCGCAGCGAAAGCGAGUGUGAAGAGCGCGAUGGUCGCACGGAGUAGACACGAAACCAGGUGAGCUACCCAUGGUCAGGCUGAAGGGGGAGUAAAGUCUCCUGGAGGGCCGCACCCGUCAGACUUGCGAAUCUGUGGGAUGACUUGUGGGUAGAGGUGAAAUGCCAAACGAACCUGGAGAUAGCUGGUUCUCCCCGAAAUAGCUUGAGGGCUAGCCUCGCGGGCAGGCUGGCGGAGGUAGAGCACUGGCUUGGCUAGGGGGCUUCGGCCUACCAAACCAAAUCAAACUCCGAAUGCCGCCAGGAGAGCCGCGGGAGUCGGACGGCGGGGGAUGAGCUUCGUCGUCGAGAGGGAAACAGCCCAGAUCACCAGCUAAGGUCCCGAAGUACGGGCUAAGUGGGAAAGGAUGUGGGCGUACUUGGACAGCCAGGAGGUUGGCUUAGUAGCAGCCACCCUUUAAAGAGUGCGUAAUAGCUCACUGGUCGAGUGCGCCUGCGCUGAUAAUCCAACGGGGCUCAAGCCCGACACCGAAGCUGUGGGAUGUUAGGGGACAGGGUAGAGGGGAGAAGGGAGAGGGCGACCUCUAGACCGAAGCCCGCUCCGCUGUACCCUGUGCCCUAACAUCGGUAGGGGAGCGUUCUGGUCAUCAGCGAAGGGGAAGUGGAAACCUCCCUGGAGAGGCCAGAAGAGAGAAUGUCGGCAUGAGUAGCGAGAAGGGCGUGAGAAUCGCCCUCGCCGAAAACCUAAGGUUUCCGACGCAAGGUUGAUCCGCGUCGGGUUAGUCGGGCCUAAGGCGAGGCCAAGAGGCGUAGCCGAUGGACAACGGGUUAAUAAUCCCGUACCGUGGUCAGGGAGCGAAGCGGUGACGCAGGGGAGAAGGCCAGCCGGCAGAUGGUAAGUCGGUGCGCAAGUGAGCCUUCGGGCAGAAGUGGUUGGGAGACCCUGCCGAGAAAAGCCGAUAAGCGAAGAACUGAUCAUGCCCGUACCGUAAACCGACACAGGUGGGUAGGUCGAGAAGACCAAGGCGAGCGAGAGAACCCUGGUUAAGGAACUCGGCAACAUGCACGCGUAACUUUGGGAGAAGCGUGACCCUGUUGAAGGGUGGCACAGAAGAGGCCCUACCGACUGUUUACCAAAAACACAGGUCUCUGCGAAGGCGAAAGCCGACGUAUAGGGGCUGACGCCUGCCCAGUGCCGGAAGGUUAAGGGGAGGGGUGAUAAGCUCUGAACCGAAGCCCCGGUGAACGGCGGCCGUAACUAUAACGGUCCUAAGGUAGCGAAAUUCCUUGUCGGGUAAGUUCCGACCCGCACGAAAGGCGUAACGAGUGGGGCGCUGUCUCAACCAGGGACUCGGCGAAGUUGAGGUAGCCGUGAAGACGCGGCUGACCCGCAGCAGGACAAAAAGACCCCGUGGAGCUUUACUACAGCUUGGCGUAGGGUUAGGGGGCGAUUUGCGUAGGAUAGGUGGGAGGCUGAGAAGCUGGGGUUGCGGCCUCGGUGGAGCCGACGUUGAAAUACCACCCUGAUCGUGUCUUGGCCCUAACGGAUGCCGUGGAUCCGGUGUCUGGACGGCGCCUGGUGGGUAGUUUGACUGGGGCGGUCGCCUCCUAAAGAGUAACGGAGGCGCCCAAGGGUUCCCUUAGGGUGAAUGGAAACCACCCGACAAGUGCAAAGGCAAAAGGGAGCUUGACUGUGAGACCAACAAGUCAAACAGGGACGAAAGUCGGGCUUAGUGAUCCCACGGUACCGAGUGGAAGGGCCGUGGCUUAACGGACAAAAGCUACCCCGGGGAUAACAGGCUGAUCUUGCCCAAGAGUCCACAUCGACGGCAAGGUUUGGCACCUCGAUGUCGGCUCGUCACAUCCUGGGGCUGUACAAGGUCCCAAG
Molecule: ribosomal RNA, 2297 nt
Filed under: bioreactor metagenome
Description: bacterial LSU rRNA
Rfam family: Bacterial large subunit ribosomal RNA
Source: RNAcentral